GACGAACGCUGGCGGCGUGCCUAAUACAUGCAAGUCGAGCGGACUUGUAGGAGCCUGGCUCCUACAAGUUAGCGGCGGACGGGUGAGUAACACGUGGGCAAUCUGCCUAUCAGACUGGAAUAACGCCUGGAGACGGGUGCUAAUGCCGGAUAUGAAACUUAGGGGCAUCCCUGAGUUUGGAAAGGUGCUACGGCACUACUGAUAGAGGAGCCCGCGGCGCAUUAGCUAGUUGGUGGGGUAGAAGCCUACCAAGGCGACGAUGCGUAGCCGACCUGAGAGGGUGACCGGCCACACUGGGACUGAGAUACGGCCCAGACUCCUACGGGAGGCAGCAGUAGGGAAUCUUCCGCAAUGGGCGAAAG
Molecule: ribosomal RNA, 362 nt
Filed under: uncultured bacterium
Lineage: Bacteria
Description: bacterial SSU rRNA
Rfam family: Bacterial small subunit ribosomal RNA
Source: RNAcentral